AUGCCCAGGCUGCUGCCCAACCUCGUCUUACGGCCUGCCCACCUCCGCCGCCUCUCUUCGUGGCUGCUAGGCGCCUGCAUCGGCUACCCCAACGACUUGGGCUACGCCGACCACCACCACCACCACCACCAGGGCCAGUACCACGACGACCACGGCCUCAAGGAGCUGGAGGAGCACUGCCCGGCGGUGCGCUUCGACGAGCUCUCCGUAUCCAACGUCGGCACCAGCGCCGGGACGCCCAUCCACCCAGAGGGAUGCGUGGUGUGCCUUAGUGACUUCCACGGUGCCGCACGUGUUCGCCGGCCGCGGGGCUGCCAGCACGUCUUCCACUUUGGCUGCCUCGACCGCUGGGCCGCUCACGGCCACCGCACCUGCCCGCUUUGCCGGGCUCCGUUCCUCCCGCCCUUCCUCCUGCCCAUGCCGUUCCCGACGUCGUGA
RNAcentral lists this ribosomal RNA (438 nucleotides) under Triticum aestivum (bread wheat). RNAcentral's name for it is "partial small subunit ribosomal RNA". The record is from RNAcentral. Lineage: Eukaryota; Viridiplantae; Streptophyta; Magnoliopsida; Poales; Poaceae.